ACAAGUGGAGACAUAAGUUAGGUGGAAUCACAAGUCUGGAGCCCAGAGGAGAGGUCUUGACUAAAGAUAUCAAAUCGCAAGUCAUCAGCAAAAGAUUUUGAAACGUGUAGAUAGAUAUCAUCUGGGGAGAGAGGCAAGAUCCAAGGCUGAUCCUCGAGGUCAGACAGAGGAGGAGAAACCAGGAAAAGAGACUGAGAAGAAGCAUCUGGUGUGGUAAGAGGGAAACCUUGAGAGAACACAAGGCAAAAGAAGGUCUACUCCCAAGCACUGAGUGAAGACCCAUGGAAAAGACAUGUAUACUGUCCUGUGGAGCCUUUGGUCCUCCAAGCAAAUGCUGGGAAUACUUGAACCCCAUCUAUCAGGUUAGUAGGAAUGCAGAAUGAAGCCUAGAUUGGAUCAGGUAAGUGUUGUUGCCUCCCUUUCUAAUGAGCAGCCAGAGUACAAUUAAUGAAAGCUACGUAAAUGUGCUCCAGGCUGUUAAGAUUACAAAGAGAGUUCAGGGCUGGGGAUAAAGAAUCAGAAUAGGAUCCACAAUCAAUUACAGAGAAGGUCCUCCUAUCUCAGACAGGCACACACAUUUUGAUAUCUCAU
Molecule: long non-coding RNA, 591 nt
Organism: Orcinus orca (killer whale)
Lineage: Eukaryota; Metazoa; Chordata; Mammalia; Artiodactyla; Delphinidae
Exons: 3
Source: RefSeq, a predicted model, not a curated record